UACCUUAAGAUGCAACAAUUUAAGGCAAGCCCUGCCCAGUGAAACUCUUUAAACGGCCGCGGUAUCCUAACCGUGCAAAGGUAGCAUAAUAACUUGCCUAUUAAUUAUAGGAUAGAAUGAAGGGGUAAACGAAAUAGAAUCUGUCUCAGUUAGACGUAAGAAAAUUAUUUUUUAGUUGAAGAAAACUAAAUAAAACUGAAGGACAAGAAGACCCUAUAGAGCUUUAUUUUUAAAUUUAUAUAAAGUGCUACUAAAUUCGGUUGGGGCGACCAAUGCUACAUAAAUCAUCAUAAUAAAUAAGACAAAUACGUCACCUUACAGACCCCACUAAGAUCAAAAAAACAAGCUACCUUAGGGAUAACAGGCUAAUCUCAUUAAUGAGUCCCUAUCUAUAAUGUUGGUUGGCACCUCGAUGUUGGCUUAGGGUAUCUAAGAGGCGCAGAAGCUUCUUAUAGAAGGUUUGUUCAACCAUUAAUUCCCUA
RNAcentral lists this ribosomal RNA (482 nucleotides) under Pontoscolex sp. 1 ST-2018. Its description in RNAcentral is "partial small subunit ribosomal RNA". It matches the Rfam family "Bacterial large subunit ribosomal RNA", at positions 1829 to 2598 of the family's 2925-position model. Lineage: Eukaryota; Metazoa; Annelida; Clitellata; Crassiclitellata; Glossoscolecidae. The record is from RNAcentral.